RNAcentral lists this small nuclear RNA (22 nucleotides) under Arabidopsis thaliana (thale cress). RNAcentral's name for it is "snRNA_09935". Lineage: Eukaryota; Viridiplantae; Streptophyta; Magnoliopsida; Brassicales; Brassicaceae. The record is from RNAcentral.
GAUAACGCAGGUGUCCUAAGAU